GGGCGUGAUUUCAACACGCGUACUGUUCUUUGUAUGUCGUACGCGUCUGUAAUACACGCUAGAAUAAAUCCGGAUUUCGCUAGCACCGCGUCCCGUGACCGGAGUUUGAUAGUAGCCCGGAGAACAUUU
Molecule: small nucleolar RNA, 129 nt
Filed under: Haemonchus placei
Lineage: Eukaryota; Metazoa; Nematoda; Chromadorea; Rhabditida; Trichostrongylidae
Description: Nematode snoRNA ceN58
Rfam family: Nematode snoRNA ceN58
Source: Rfam by way of RNAcentral